UUUUCUUUCUCUUCCUCGAUUGAUCCAAAUUUCCUCUUCGUUUUCUUCUCCCUUACCUUUUCUUUCUCUUCUAAACAACUAAAAAUCCAUUGGUCAACUCAAUUUGCAGACAAUCAAUGACGGAGAUGAAGAGUUGCGUUGGUUGUUUUCACUUCCUCGAUUAGGUAUAGAAAGGAAUUGGGACAAACAAAUAAGGUCAAACAUGAUUUUUUUUUCCCUCCCUUAUCGGUAUCAUCCAACUCUCCUGAAAACCAAGACACCUGAUACCCAGGUAAAGUGCACGCCGUGUUAGCUGGUAUGCUAUAUGGAGGUAGCAAGGAAGCUUCUGCAUCUGUUAGCAAGGAUGCAGAAGUGAUGUUAAAUCUAGGUAGCAAGCCAUACUAUCUUGAGAAUUAUUUGUCAGAAUUGCAAUGGUGAAAACGUUUGUCAGAGUAACGCUUGGUUCGGUAGUUAGUGGAGUUUGUCUUAGCAUGUUCACCACUGCAUGUUACGGUGUACAGAAUUUGCUUGCUGAGAAGUGUUAUGUACAUGAUGCUUAUAAUAUGUGGCAGCUGCAGGUUCACCUACCGCUGCAUAUUCGGCUUAAUCAUGACAUGUCCCAUUUAGUAGCGCAUGAGAAAUAUGAUGUUGGGUUCUGUUUUAGUCACUGCAGCUGGAUUCUAAAUCCGCUUGCUAUUACAACUAAAUCCUAAAUUCAUUCACAAAGAAAAUGUUAGACAACUCACUUUUGCAUCGGUGUGUCGUAAUUUUGAGAAAAUGUAAAAUACAUGUAAAAAAAAACUAGCGGCUGCCGACGUGCAAAGCACGUGUUCUCCACUUGUUCUUGUAAUAGGAAUUACGCCCCUUGAUUUGUAUUUCAUUUGUGGGAUCCCUAGUGGAGUGGGAGAGCCGGAACCAUUCAACCAAGACGAAUGGAUAUCAAAUAGUAAAUGGGAGACGCUUUUUCCCUCGUUUAUGGAAUCAGAAAUACGUGAAGAUUAUAGAGAAUUGAAAGGAGGUGGGAUUAGAUGUUCAACGUUGAAGUCUUUCCUUACCCAAAGCAGAAACCUAGAAGAUAUAGAUGACUAUCCUGAACUCGAAAUAGUGUUUAUCUUAUGGGUACUGGGUCAGACAUUCUUUCCAAACUCAACUUUGGUUGCUCGUGUUGGUUGGCUUCAAGCGUUAGAAUAUAUUGGCAAAGCACCAGAUUAUGACUGGGGAUCCGCAAUUUUAGCAGAAUUGUACUGUGGGCUGGAUUAGGCGUCCAUGGGUAUGCCUAAUUUCACUGGUUUCUGGGACGUCAUAGAGUAUUGGUGGUAUACCUACUUCCGUGUUGGUAAACCAAUCCUUAAGGACGAUACCCAUAGAUUUCCAAUCUUGGACAUGUAUAUCUCGAGCAACUGGGCGAAGGACACUGCCAGCGACGUCUCAGCUUCCAGUUUUGUUCAGAGGUUUCAACAGAUGACUCGAAGCCAUAAGAAUGUUGUUUUUCACCCUUACAUUGAUGUUCCUCAGUAUUUUGAAAAUGAUGCAGAACGUGGUCUUGAUUAUUCUCUCCGUAGAGUUGUUUUUUACACUCCAGAUUUGGAUAAAGGGGCUUAGUACCUGGGAAAAAAACUGCAGUACCAAAUACAAGGUAUAUAUGAAAUUUCAAUUAACCUGCCACAACAGAUGCAAACCUCUGGAUCAGAUUUUGAUCGGCUCAGAAAAACCAAUUGGGAAAGGUAUGAACUAAAUACAAAGAGGGAUAUUGGUGAAGCUGAGUAUGUCACCUGGUACAAGUCGAUUGCGAAGCCUGUAAUUGGGACACACAACAUGCACAUAUAUGGGUUUGAUUUCCCAGGGCUAUCAAGCCUGUCCCAUGAUGCAAAUAUCGUUCCUAGUCAGCCACCUCCAAAAGAGCCAUGCUUUAUGACAUACCCCACCACGGGUGCAAGUUCUUUAUCAUCUUCGUCAAAUAUGCCCGAAAUUCGUUGGGAGAUGCCAAUUAUUACUUCACAAGGUGAGCCAACCACGAUCCCCAUUGUUUACCAAGCUAUGGAACGUGAUUAUCCUUACUACAAUGUGACUGCCAGUUACCGGGAGUUGUAGAUCCGACUGAACGAUUUGUAUUGGGUGAAUCGGCAAAUGGAGGCUAUACACUUGGGUUUGUGUCGGAAAUGGCACGAGACAAUGUUUGGAUUGAGUCCAACUAUAAAUGAUGAUGAGCGUUCACCGUCUACCAGGAGCAACAGAUCAUUGCACGAUAGUGAUAAUACAGUGGUGGGAGAAACACAAGUACGACAGAGUUCUUCACCACACGUACGGCACAAUACUUCACCGCAAACUGUGCAUGUAUCUCAACCCCAAGUAUUUCGGCUAGAUCCUAGGCGCAUUUCAUCAUCAUUCUCACCCUACAACCCAAAUGAUUGCUACAAUGUUAUACCACCACCACAACAACAACAAACAUCUUAUAUACUUGGAGGACCGAGUGCACUGAGUGCUUUCCAGCAACCGAGUUCUUUCCAAUCGCUUAGUGCUUUCCAAUCGCCUAAUGUUUUUCAACCAGUUUUAUCCCCUUAUGGAAAUUUAUUUAAUAUGUUGGCAAAUGGAGAUAUCCCAGGUUUUGGAGAAUCUUGACUCCAGAAGAUAACAAUGGGGGAGCUAGCGAUGAGCGACGUUAGAGAGAUUGUAAUUUUUAAUUCUGCUACAUUUGUAAUUCUAGUUUUAAAAGUACGGAAUUAAAUGAAAUUACAUAAAAUUAAGCGUUU
Papaver somniferum (opium poppy) is the source of this 2729-nucleotide long non-coding RNA. RefSeq lists it as uncharacterized. The record is from RefSeq and is a predicted model, not a curated record. The transcript has 4 exons. NCBI's taxonomy places the organism in Eukaryota, Viridiplantae, Streptophyta, Magnoliopsida, Ranunculales, Papaveraceae.